GACGAACGCUGGCGGCGUGCUUAACACAUGCAAGUCGAACGGAAAGGCCCCUUUGGGGGUACUCGAGUGGCGAACGGGUGAGUAACACGUGAGUAACCUGCCCUUGACUUCGGGAUAACUUCAGGAAACUGGGGCUAAUACCGGAUAGGAAUCCUUGCUGCAUGGUGGGGGUUGGAAAGCUUCGGCGGUUUUGGAUGGACUCGCGGCGUAUCAGCUUGUUGGUGGGGUAGUGGCUUACCAAGGCUUUGACGGGUAGCCGGCCUGAGAGGGCGACCGGCCACACUGGGACUGAGAUACGGCCCAGACUCCUACGGGAGGCAGCAGUGGGGAAUCUAGCACAAUGGGCGGAAGCCUGAUGCAGCAACGCCGCGUGCGGGAUGACGGCCUUCGGGUUGUAAACCGCUUUCAGCAGGGGCGAAGCUUGUGGUGACGGUACCUGCAGAAGAAGCACCGGCUAACUACGUG
Molecule: ribosomal RNA, 465 nt
Filed under: uncultured bacterium
Lineage: Bacteria
Description: partial 16S ribosomal RNA
Rfam family: Bacterial small subunit ribosomal RNA
Source: RNAcentral